GAUGAAGAACGUAGCGAAAUGCGAUACGUAAUGUGAAUUGCAGAAUUCAGUGAAUCAUCGAGUCUUUGAACGCACAUUGCGCCCCCUGGUAUUCCGGGGGGCAUGCCUGUCCGAGCGUCAUUGCUGCCCUCAAGCACGGCUUGUGUGUUGGGCCUCCGCCCCCCGGCUCCCGGGGGGCGGGCCCGAAAGGCAGCGGCGGCACCGCGUCCGGUCCUCGAGCGUAUGGGGCUUCGUCACCCGCUCCGUAGGCCCGGCCGACGCCCGCCGGCGACCCCCCUCAAUCUUUCCAGGUUGACCUCGGAUCAGGUAGGGAUACCCGCUGAACUUAAGCAUAUCAAUAAGCGGAGGA
This 349-nucleotide unclassified non-coding RNA is filed under the name soil metagenome. RNAcentral's name for it is "partial contains 5.8S ribosomal RNA, internal transcribed spacer 2, and large subunit ribosomal RNA". The stretch from base 1 to 120 matches the Rfam family "5.8S ribosomal RNA", at positions 35 to 154 of the family's 154-position model. The record is from RNAcentral.